Molecule: ribosomal RNA, 387 nt
Filed under: Ophiogomphus cecilia
Lineage: Eukaryota; Metazoa; Arthropoda; Insecta; Odonata; Gomphidae
Description: partial 16S ribosomal RNA
Source: RNAcentral
GUCCUCUUGUUUAUAUAUGAGGUCUGACCUGCCCAGUGAAAUAAAUUUUUAACGGCCGCGGUAUUUUGACCGUGCAAAGGUAGCAUAAUCAUUAGUCUUUUAAUAGGAGGCUGGUAUGAAGGGUUUGACGAAUUGUUAACUGUCUCAUUUAAUUUGAAAUUAAAAUUUAACUUUUCAGUUAAAAGGCUGAAAUUAAUUUGGAAGACGAGAAGACCCUAUAGAGCUUUAUAAACAAAUAUUUUUAUUUAAAUUUUUGUUGAAUUAUAUUUAUUUAUUAUUUUGUUUAUUUUGUUGGGGUGACAAAAAUAUAUAAUUAACUUUUUUAUUUACAUAACAUUGAUUUAUGAAUUUUAGAUCCAGUUUUACUGAUUGUUAGAUUAAGUUACC